CAGUUGUCUUGAAAAGGUACUUCGCAGGUUCUUGAUGACUAAUACGUUGUUGCAGAUCUCUUCAUACACGGUCCAACACACACACGCACGCGCGCACACUUGUUACAGGCUCGUGGCACAAGUUGUAGAUGCUUGCAGCAAGCAAAAGCAGGAAGAAAUGUAGCAAAGACAGCAGCUCACUCUACACCCCGGUGUCGUCGGUGGUGUGAUGAGGAUGAGGAGAGCUAGGAGCAGCGUUGGGACGUGUGCUUUGUCAAAGCUGUUGAGUAGGCACAAACUUCUGGUUUCAGAUCAGUUGUCUUCUCACAAUAGGUUGGGGCGUAGGAUUGCUUCUCUUCGGCUUUUGUAGACUGGCCUGAUGUUGGUCUUUGGUCAAGUCAGGAUUUGGUUACACUUUGUUGUUUUCAACCCUUGAAAUGAUCAUGGAGCCAACAUAUCUUGGGAGUCU
This is a long non-coding RNA of Hippocampus zosterae (dwarf seahorse), 448 nucleotides long. RefSeq lists it as uncharacterized. The record is from RefSeq and is a predicted model, not a curated record. NCBI's taxonomy places the organism in Eukaryota, Metazoa, Chordata, Actinopteri, Syngnathiformes, Syngnathidae. The transcript is spliced from 2 exons.